This 497-nucleotide ribosomal RNA is filed under the name uncultured bacterium. Its description in RNAcentral is "partial 16S ribosomal RNA". It matches the Rfam family "Bacterial small subunit ribosomal RNA", at positions 28 to 507 of the family's 1533-position model. The record is from RNAcentral.
GAUGAACGCUGGCGGCGUGCCUAAUACAUGCAAGUCGAGCGAACAGACGAGGCUCUUGCUCCUCGGACGUUAGCGGCGCACGGGUGAGUAACACGUGGAUAACCUACCUAUAAGACUGAGAUAGCUUGGGGAAACCGGAGCUAAUACGGGAUAAUAUAUUGAACCCCAUGGGUCAGUAGUAAAGGGCGGUUUUGCUGUCGCUUAUGGAUGCGUCCGCGCCGCUUUUGCUAGUUGGUAAGGUAAAGGCUUACCAUGGCGGCGAGGCGUAGACGGGCUGAGAGGGUGAUCGGCCACCCGGGAACAGAGACACGGUGCAGCCGCCUAGGGGAGGACGCAGGAGGGAAGCGGCCGAAAUGGGAGAAAGCCUGACGGAGCAACGCCGCGUGAGUGAGGAAGGUAUUGGGACCUUAGAACUGUGUUACUAGUGAAGAACAAAUGUGGAAGUAACUAUGCACGUCUUGACGGUACCUAAUCAGAAAGCCACGGCUAACUACGUG